GUGCUCCCUUCAGCAGCACAGAUAACUAAAAAUUGAAAUGAUACAGAGAAGAUGAACAUGGUCCCUUUGUGAGGGUGAAACACAAAUUAGUGAAGCAUUCAUACUUUGU
This 109-nucleotide small nuclear RNA is filed under the name Procavia capensis (Cape rock hyrax). The record is from RNAcentral. Lineage: Eukaryota; Metazoa; Chordata; Mammalia; Hyracoidea; Procaviidae.